AUUUUAAUAACUGUCUCUGAUAUUAUUUUAUCUCCGUGAGAACAGGACUGUGUCCAUUUAUUCUACUGCUACAUCACUGAUGCUGAAAUGCUGAGAACAGGACAAUAGUGUGUGCUCAAUAAAUAAGAAUGAAUGGAUGAUUGAAACACUUAAAUAUCAAGAAAAGAAAACUGAAGAUUUAAAAAAGGGAGAGGGAGACAUCAGGAAGUUAAUGGUGAUCAUUGCUGGGUGGGGAAAUAUGGUUGCCUUUUAUUUUCUUUUGAUCUCUUACAUUUUCCAAAUUCCCCGCAAUGAGCACAUACUACUUUUACAAUCAGGUAAAGAAAUUACAAAAGUAGAAGCUGAAAAACUAGAAGCUGGCAUUUCUGAUCAUUUUCACUCCCUCCAUGGCAGAUCAUGUCAGAAUCUGAAUUACUAAAAAAGCUGAAGCUGAGAGGCAGGACCACAAAAGGACCGACCCUUGAGAAGGUCCUAAAGUUAAAUUGACCCAGACCCUCUCGGGGAGACAGAUAAGGACCCUGCCAGCCACCCAAGCUCCGUAGGCCACUGAGAUUACUGCUACAAUUACCUUGUCAUUGAGAUCAUGUGCAUUUAGUGUCACGGGGUCAGUUUCCUCCUUCUCUUCUCACCGUGCAAAGGCCCUUAGAGAUCUCAUGAAUUAGUGUUCAUCCCAGGAGAUCUGGGUUGGCAUUGUAAAUAUUACAAAACAUCCAUGUGCCUAAGUCCAGCCUUCAAAAUUACUUUGACAAUUUACUCUGAGGAAGCAGUUUUGACAUUUGAUUUCAGGGCUCAUGGUAUACAAAAGAUUACUGAAAAAAUUAUAGAGAACAGAGAGGAGAUACCAUAGUUUUCCAUUUUAUUUGUUUAUUUUUUAAAAUAUAACCAUCUUUUACACCUUUGGUCACAGUCUCUUCAUGAUUUUUCGAGGCAAUUUCUUUGGGAAACCUUGUGGCUGAGACAAUCUGACGGUAACCCCAGCUGGACAGGGUCCCUACUGGAACCAUUCCUAGAGCAGGUAAGAGGUGGGACGAAGGAAGGCAGGGCAUGCCGUGUGCCAGGCCCACACAGCUGGACAGAUGUGCAGGAGGAGGGGCAGGGACCAUCUGGAAGUCUCAGGGUGCUGUCCGCCCCCAGGCACCCACAGGAAGCAACAGAGGGGCGGUAAAACCCACAGCAGCAGAACUUACCGUGACGACAACUCCCUUGAGUUAAAACAUGCUUUUCAAGAAAGCAAGUACCAAUUCAAUCGCUAUAACGAGAAGCUCCUCAUGAUAGCAAUGAAGAAAGUCCAGGUUGUUGGGCAGUGUCAAUGUUUUAGAAAGGUGAGGGGGUGACCUGAAGGGACAAGAGCACAGUACACUCCCGACAACCCUGUCCUAACCUGUCUGAUGCCGGGACACACAUUUGGAGUGCGGGAGAAGCAGAAAGUCCUAAAUGCUGGGUUUUCCUCUAGAGAUGGGCAAGCUGUGGGUUCUUGAGGCGGUGGCACUAGAGCUGCACUGUCAGGCUUUAAUAGCCACACAUGCCCUGGGGACCUUGUUGAAACAUAGCUUACGAUUCUGUAGGUCCGGCCCGGGGUUCUGCAUUUCUAACAAGCUCCCAGACACAGUGGACUUUGCUCGUCCCUGGAACACACUGAGAAUGUACAGCAAGGCACGGGAGGAUACUCACUUUGCUCAGGGACACUUUGCUUCCCGCCAGAGCAAUAUAAACAAAAGCAGGUAUGAGUGGCCCAAUUCAGCAGCCUGGGAAGUGUGGUGAUAAUAACGCAAGCCUUGGCCUGGUGACCAAGUGGCUGCUCCGGGGACUCCCUCUCCAGACUGUGAGCAGUGUGCUGGGGUUGAGUGGGGCCAGCUGUCCCCAGUGAAAGGUGGCCUGGUCGCCAAGUGCAAGUGUCCAGGAUGGCUCACCUUUGUGAAGCUACCACAGACAUGGACCUAUGGGCCCAGAAGCGUGACUUGCCACUCACUAACUCACUCAGUCAUUCAUUCACUUUUUCAACAAAUGCUUCCUGAGCGUGUGUUACGCGCCAGGCCUGUGCUCGGCACGAGGGUACCGUGAUGAACAGCAGAUCGUGUCCUCACUCAGACCCCAGGAAUGGAUCCAUUUUUCAGGGGCAAGCUUCAAAAAUAAUGCUGAUGUUUGUAUUUAUUAUAAAAUUUACUAUAACAUUUACCAUUAUGAUGACGGCAGCUUCUACUUUUCAAAGGCCUGCUAUGUGCUAGCCACUGUGCUAAGCACUUUACCUGGAUCAUCUCGUUAAUCCUCACGACGACCUAUGUAGCAGGUACUACUAUUAAACUCACCGCAACGAUGAAGAAACUGAAGCUCAGAAAGGGUAAUUAAGCUGCCUGAGGACACCAGCUAGCGAGGGGAGGAACUGAGAUGAAUCCCUAGUCCCCACAGGCUGGGUCUCCAUGUCUGCUCAUGGGCACAUUCCCUACCUGGGGGAGAGCUCCCAGGGACCCAGUGACAGUCAGCACUGAGUUUGGAAUGUGAUAGGGGGCAGUAGAUGAUGUGGGUGAUGUCAAUCACAGUGGCAUUGCACUGCAAUCACCUGAUGCACUUAUCUCCCCAGGAUGGGCAGAACUUCAGCACAGGCCAGGAGCCUGAGUCCCCGGCCCAGAGUCCCCCUCUCUCCCUUGGGGAGAGCCAGGAUACCCUGGUUGGCUUUGCUGCAUCUUGCUGAGCAAAGGCAGCAUCCUCUCUGUUUCCUGGGCCUCCCUGCCUGUCCACACACACACACACACGCAUUCACACCCACUCACACCCACACACAUGAUCAUGCACAUCAUAUGAGCCCACAAACCCAUAGACACAUGCACACACCCUCACACACACUUGUACACCCUCACAUAUCUACACACACUACCAUGCACAACACACACAUUCACAUACUCUCACAUACACACUCACACACACACCCUUCUGAGGACUACCUUCUUUUUGGGGUACAUUAGUAGCAUGAUAAGGUAAACACAGAUUUUUGCCGCUUUCUGCUUUGGACCUAUUAUGUGUAUUUCAGAGUUUAACUCUCAAAAGUCUACUUUAUUCUCCUAAAUCCUGUGGCCAGGAUUCCUUUCCACUUUUAAAGCCCCAAACAGCUCUGUGCAGCCACUUCCCCUGACGUCCAAAACAGACAGGAGGGGCCUUAAAUGGUCCACAGCAUUGAUGGUGUCUUUAAAGAAAAAUGCGCUCUCGAUAGGAGGUUGGAUAACUCUACAUCCAGUUUCCAUUCGUCUUGGGGUUUGGUGACUGCUGUUUGUGUUUUGUGCAGGAGAAUCUCUCCUAGUCAACGUCUAUUUAACCAACACAGUGGUUAACCUUGGCGCUCUAUUCCUGCAUCAAUCUGUUGCCCACCACAUGCGGGGCCGUGCUGCUAGCUGGCAUUCCUUUUGGAUUUUCAAUUUACCACCCAACUACCAGUCCUAAUAACAUCAGAUAAGAGGGCUUCCGCUGUGCGACACUUGUGUUCAAAAACUGUAAAUGCUGUCAACCCAGAGUUAAGUCCAGCCAUAGGGAGACAGAAAAUAAACACCCAGGAAGGCCAAGGAGGCUCAGUGGCCCAAGCCCACUGAGUUGCUCAGACUCUGUGUGCUGUAGGAGUUCCAGAGAGCGGAGAGUGUGUGAAUUCGAGUGCAGAAGGCUUCCUGGAGGGGCUGAGAUUUCUGAUGGGCCUUUGUUAUGGGUUGAAUCGUGUCCACCCCAGAAUUCAGAUGUUCAAGUCCUAACCCCCAGUACCUAAGAAUGUGACCUUGUCUGGAAAUAGGAUCAUAGCUGAUUAACUAGUUAAGAUGAAGCCAUACUGGAGUAGAGCGGGCCCCUAAUCCCAUAUAACUGGUGUCCUUAUAACGAGGGGAAAUGUGAAAACAGACACGUGUGCACACAGGGAGAACGCCCGCGAAGACGAAGGCAGUGAGCAGGGUGAUGCCUCCACAAGCCAGGGAAUGCCGAAGAUCGCCAGCAACCACCAGGAGCUCAGGGGGAGGCGUGGAACAGGUUCUGUCUCACAGGAAGAAGGGGAAGGAAGGAACCUCAAAAGGAAGCGAUCCUGCCGACACCUUGAUUUCAGACUCCCGGCCUCCAGAACUGUGACACGAUAUAUUUCUGCUUAAACACCCAGUUUGUAGCACUUUGUUGCAGCAGCAAACUAGUACAGCCUGGAGGACAGGUAGGGAUUUGUGAUGCACGGAGAACGCACCCCUGUCACUACCACCACCAUCACUUACUAAGCUCUUAAAAGUGAAGCUGCUCAAUGAGCAGGUCCUCAUGCCAGGGUGAGGAGGUGGGCUCCAGCUCGCCCUCUGCCGGGUUGCAGAUGAGCACCUGUGGCCAGGAGGUGGCCCGAGGAGGACAGCUUGGCCACAUCCCUGCCUGCUCUGCCAGCUGGCCUGGAUCCCCCACCACACACCUGGCCAGGAGUCAGUAGGAAAACAGUGUGUUUGCAGGCUCUGCACCGAGGGCGUUGGAUCAAUGCAAAGGCUAAUACAUCAGAGAUAAGCGGGAUUUGUUGAUUUGCUGGAGGUUAGAGCUGCAGGAUCGGGUGUUGGCUCUGGGUCCUCUCCAAAGCCCUGGGCUGGCUCGACAUGAGCUGAAGAAGGAAAGUGUCUGUUGUAGGUUGAAUUGAGGCCCCCCCCCACCGCCAUCCCCAAGUCCUAGCCUUGGGGAGGACAUGUGAAUGUACCCACUUGGAAAUAGGGUCUUUGCAGGUAUGAUCAAGUAAAGGUGAGGUGAUGCUGGAUUCAGACGGGCUCUAACGCAGUGACUGGUGUCCGUGCAAGACAAGGGAAAUUGGACACACACAGAGGAGAAUGCCGUGGGACAACAGAGGCUGGGAAUGGAAUGAUUGCAGCCAGCACCAGCAGCUGGAAGAGGCAGGAAGGGUACUCCCCCAGAGCCUUCGGAGGGGACAUGGCCCUGCUGACACCUUCGUUUCAGACUUGUGACCUCUAGAACUGGGAAAGAACAGAUUUCCGUGGUCUGAAGCCACUCGGUUUGUGGUCCUUCCUUACGGCAGCCCUGGAAACUGCCAUAGGGCCCUUCCCUGCCAGCCGUGGUGGAGCAGCCUCCACGAGCGCUUAGCCAGCCAGGAAGAGGCCCCAGGGGAGCUCAGCCUCCCUCAGAGGGGCUUCUGCUCUCAGCCCCUCUCUGCACACACCCCGCCAGGGAGGGGGACUUCUCCUCUUUGCAAUCUGCCACGCAGAGGGUAUGAUGAUGGAGCCGUCCCAGCCUCUCUGUAAAGUGGGGACAAGAGCAGCCCUCCCUGCUCUCUGUACUUCUUAGAAUUCUUGUGACGAUCAUGUGAGAGAAUGGAGGAGGUGACAGAGCUUUGGAACCUGCGGAGGGCUGUGUGCUCUGGUGACCAACUAGCUGUCUGGUGAUAGGACAGGGAGAAGGCCUUGGCAGUGGCAGAGGGCAGGGAGCCAGGGCGGAGGAAAGACCUGGAUUCGGCUCGUAGGUACAUGACCUUUCUGCCAUAUCAUCUUAUCAUUCCGGCUGCCACAAGGAGACAGCCCCCUCCCCGGAAUGGCCCCCAAAGCCUUCCUCCGCUGCCUGUGCACCCCUCUGGCCUCAUCACCUUGCACGGACUCUUUUUGCCACUCCAUGCUGUCCCCAGCCUGUACCCCAGCCAUCUGGUUCUGCAGGCCAAUUUCACAUUCUCCAAGUUCAAGUUCUAUUUUGGAAUUUCUUAUAACUAUUUUACUGAGAAUAUGUCUCCCCUGACUUUGAACUUAUUGAGAGCAGGAAACAUGAAUCAUCUGUAGAUCCUGGCACUUAACCCAGGACCCGUCUGAUCCAGGGUAGGUGGUCUAGGUUUAUUGAAGGAAUUUCAUUUAGUCUUUAAAAUGAAGGUACGCUGCCUAGAUCCAUCAUUUUUGAACUCUACACUUCAUCAAGGACUAAGUUUACAUAAAUAUCUUCUGCAGAACACUAAUUCUAUAAAGUUCUCUCUCUCCCUCACACACACACACACACACCCCAACUCUACAGUUUAAUACAUUUGGCAGAGGCUAUGUACUACAGCCUCUCUUACAGAUUAACAAUGCCCAUUAGUGCACUUGUUUAACUUUGUUUAACCAAAUAUUCUCAAAUGUAUUUAAUCAUAUGUGGCAGAGAAUGCUAAGUGUCUAGCAUUCUCCAUUUCCCCUUUCUUCCUUAAACAUAGAACCUCUAAGAUUUUUAGCUUGGUGUAUUGCCACCUGGAAUAAAAACUACCUUUCCCAGCUUUCCCUGCAGCUAGGUACAACUCUCUGAUAAAUUCUGGCCAACGAAAUACAGGCAGACAUAAAUCAUAUAUGAUUUCCAGGAAGGCCCCUUAAGGAGAAGGGGUGCACCUUUCUCUCCCCCACACAUUUCUCCUGUCUGGAAUGCAGAUGUAGAUAUUGGCAUUUGAACAGCCAUCUUGGGCUACGAGGUAGCUUCUUACUGAUGAUCUAGGACUUAUUCUGGGGUCUAGAUUUACCUCCAAAUUUUGUUUAUCUAACAAAAAUAAAAUUGUAUCUUGUUUAAGCCA
Lemur catta (Ring-tailed lemur) is the source of this 6514-nucleotide long non-coding RNA. RefSeq lists it as uncharacterized. NCBI's taxonomy places the organism in Eukaryota, Metazoa, Chordata, Mammalia, Primates, Lemuridae. The record is from RefSeq and is a predicted model, not a curated record. The transcript is spliced from 2 exons.